AACAGGAUUAGAUACCCUGGUAGUCCACGCCGUAAACGAUGAGUGCUAGGUGUUGGGGGGCUACGCCCCUCAGUGCCGAAGGUAACCCAUUAAGCACUCCGCCUGGGGAGUACGGCCGCAAGGCUGAAACUCAAAGGAAUUGACGGGGGCCCGCACAAGCGGUGGAGCAUGUGGUUUAAUUCGAAGCAACGCGAAGAACCUUACCAGGGCUUGACAUCCCGCUGACCCCUCCAGAGAUGGAGGUUUCCUUCGGGACAGCGGUGACAGGUGGUGCAUGGUUGUCGUCAGCUCGUGUCGUGAGAUGUUGGGUUCAGUCCCGCAACGAGCGCAACCCUUGUCGUUAGUUGCCAGCAUUUCGGAUGGGCACUCUAACGAGACAGCCGGUGAAAGCCGGAGGAAGGUGGGGAUGACGUCAAAUCAUCAUGCCCCUUAUGUCCUGGGCUACACACGUGCUACAAUGGCUGGUACAAAGGGCAGCGAACCCGCGAGGGGGAGCCAAUCCCAAAAAGCCAGUCUCAGUUCGGAUCGCAGGCUGCAACUCGCCUGCGUGAAGCCGGAAUCACUAGUAAUCGCGGAUCAGCAUGCCGCGGUGAAUAUGUUCCCGGGCCUUGUACACACCGCCCGUCACACCACGAGAGUUUGCAACACCCGAAGUCGGUGAGGCAACCUUUUAGGAGCCAGCCGCCGAAGGUGGGGCAGAUGAUUGGGGUGAAGUCGUAACAAGGUAACC
RNAcentral lists this ribosomal RNA (730 nucleotides) under uncultured bacterium. RNAcentral describes it as "bacterial SSU rRNA". It matches the Rfam family "Bacterial small subunit ribosomal RNA", at positions 771 to 1501 of the family's 1533-position model. The record is from RNAcentral.